CACAGGAGAGGGAGCCAUAGAGGGGUUGAGCUAUGGAAGGACAAUAGUAUGUUUUUGUUAAACUCAUUUCUAAAAUACAUCAUCUUUGGACUUGCUUCGAAAAGUCGACUUCCCAAGGUCUUCCCAUUGUCUUUUUGCUCUUAACAAAAUAUUCGUUUUUCGUACAUUAGCAUGGGCCGAUUCAAAUACAAGGACUUGUUUUCUGUUGUGCCGGUUCGAAAUAGGUUUGUAAUACAUAUUACAAUAAAAGGUCCAAGUUUAGUUUUUUCCCUUCAUUCAGCCUUUUCUCCAGAUUAUAUAGUUUUUUAAAUGUUUAUUCUUGGAUGAUCAAGUUGUUUCUCAUACCUCUAAACUGAUGAAAAUAUGAGAAAAUAAAGUAAAACAAAUAAAGAAAUGAACAAAAAUGAAUAAUACCUUUCUAGCUGAUUCUUCAUUUCAUUAAGUUCAGAUUUUACUUCUGCUUGCUCUUCAAAAGCAUUUUCUAAAGUAUUCAACCAUGAAUUCAUUUUGUUUUUAUUUUCAGCAAAAUCAUCCCAACGGUUUAAAGCAGAUUUCAGUUGAGCACUGGUUGCUUUAACUUCCAUUGUUAAGCUUUCUAAACUUGUUCUUAGGUCUGCCAUGUUACCUCGUAGAGCUUCUUGUUUAUCAACUGGAGUUGUAUUUAUUGCUUUUGUGAAAACUUCUUGUAAGGAGCCGCUUGCUGCAAAUCUUCUGCUUUCAGAGUUACCGAUUGAAUCAUGGGGUCAAAGGAUACAAUAUCUUGGACAAUACUAUUGGUCUGACGUAAAGUGGCUUUCCUUUCACCGAGACUUAACUGACUUAUGCCUGGGGUUGUUGAAAGGCGCCCAGAGGUGCCAGCACUCAUUCUUGGUUUUGGCGCCUGUAAAAAGAAGAAAGAAAGAUAUUGAAACUUAUUACCUCAAUCACAUGGAUUACAAAUAUUACCAUAGUGUUGCAAGAAAAUUGUAAAUUUAUUUUGUUGCUAUAUCAUAGUAAUUUAUCCCCAAAAAUUGAAAUUUAAUUGUGAUCUUAUCGUAAUUAAAAUUUUUCAUUAGCUUCUUCCCAGUCAAGAAUUGUGAUGAAAUUGUAAACUCUUUCAUUGUUUUCCUGUUUUUGCACCACGAGGAACUAUUUUUUUUAUU
Molecule: long non-coding RNA, 1142 nt
Filed under: Bemisia tabaci
Lineage: Eukaryota; Metazoa; Arthropoda; Insecta; Hemiptera; Aleyrodidae
Description: lncRNA ENSASIAIIG013400
Source: RNAcentral